RNAcentral lists this ribosomal RNA (253 nucleotides) under uncultured bacterium. RNAcentral describes it as "partial 16S ribosomal RNA". It matches the Rfam family "Bacterial small subunit ribosomal RNA", at positions 524 to 776 of the family's 1533-position model. The record is from RNAcentral.
UACGGAGGGAGCUAGCGUUGUUCGGAAUUACUGGGCGUAAAGGGCGCGUAGGCGGCGUGACAAGUCACUUGUGAAAUCUCCGGGCUUAACUCGGAACGGUCAAGUGAUACUGUCGGACUAGAGUACAGAAGGGGCAACUGGAAUUCUCGGUGUAGCGGUGAAAUGCGUAGAUAUCGAGAGGAACACCUGCGGCGAAGGCGGGUUGCUGGGCUGAUACUGACGCUGAGGCGCGAAAGCCAGGGGAGCGAACGGG